GGCCUGUUUUUCUCGCCGUUUUCGCCCUAUAUUGGGGGUGCCGGUUCGCCGGCUAUGGAAAUAAAUUGCCGUCGCAAUAAACCAUUCGGACCCGGGGGCAGUACCCGGCGCCUCCACCAAAAUCCGUCAGUUGGGCAUGAUGUUCAGCGGGUUUCGGCGGGGGCGAACCAGGAUCGACGAGGGCGUAAAGGGCGUGUUUUUUCCCGGUAUGGUUCCGCCGUUAUCGGGCUAUGCAAUAGUUGCAAACGACAACUAUGCUCCGGUUGCUCAGGCUGCGUAACGCAGUUUGAAAGACCAAGUCUAAAGUCCUGGUGGGUUAAGCUCCGCUAGGCGGGGUUCGGAGGCACCUGGCAACAGAAGCCUCCACU
RNAcentral lists this transfer-messenger RNA (368 nucleotides) under Afipia sp. GAS231. Its description in RNAcentral is "Alphaproteobacteria transfer-messenger RNA". It matches the Rfam family "Alphaproteobacteria transfer-messenger RNA". From Rfam's summary of the family: Bacterial tmRNA, also known as 10Sa RNA or SsrA, is named for its dual tRNA and mRNA-like properties. Its role is to liberate the mRNA from a stalled ribosome. The record is from Rfam by way of RNAcentral. Lineage: Bacteria; Pseudomonadati; Pseudomonadota; Alphaproteobacteria; Hyphomicrobiales; Nitrobacteraceae.